UACUCCAGAAUCUUCGAAAUUUGUGCCUUUUUUAUUGGGAAAAAAAAAAAUGGAGGGGCAGUUUGUGAAAGUGAUAACCCCAACUUGGUCGCUCCACCAGCUCUCCUUUGCCCACGCGUAUUUUUGACGGUCCCGGUCCGCGGGAUUAUAUCCAGAAACCGGCGAACCAAGAAAAAAAAAUUUUCCAGCACCCCGCACCAAUUUAAUAACUGGCAUCAGAACCGGCAACGUGGGGACGCCCUUUACCCCCCAACUCACCCUCCCGGGCCCACC
RNAcentral lists this long non-coding RNA (273 nucleotides) under Elaeis guineensis (African oil palm). RNAcentral's name for it is "long non-coding RNA (EGUI_LNC000400)". Lineage: Eukaryota; Viridiplantae; Streptophyta; Magnoliopsida; Arecales; Arecaceae. The record is from RNAcentral.